This is a non-coding RNA of Benincasa hispida (wax gourd), 1595 nucleotides long. Lineage: Eukaryota; Viridiplantae; Streptophyta; Magnoliopsida; Cucurbitales; Cucurbitaceae. The record is from RefSeq and is a predicted model, not a curated record.
UGAAGCGGCAAAAGCUGUUUUCAAGGAUUUGCACAAAGUUCCUUAUGUCGUUGAGUUGGAUCAAAGGUCUACUUAAUUUCCUCUCCCCAAUUAUGAAAAGUGGUAGUAACAACUCCCUUAUUGAAUCUGUUGAAAUGAAAUCUGUUUGUUUAUUAACCAUUAUAGGUUGACCUAGUGGUAAAAAUGGUCUCGAUAAAUGGCUAAGAGAUCAAAGGUUCAAUUCAUGAUGGCCGUAUGAAAAUGUUGGAGUAUGAUAUUACAAUAGAUAUGUGCAUUCUUGAGAUUUUUUGAAGCUGAAAUUUUUGUUUGGGAAUCUUUUACUCUCUUGGGCUGAAAUUCUAUUUUCAAUGUGGGAUCUCAACCUUCCUUUCGAGAUGUAACUCGUAUCUUAUAAGGACUAUGAGAUCUCCAUCAUUCCAAUUGAGAUCCUUAACAAGAAGAAGGGACCAAAAAGUGGGAUAUGGUAAAGGAAAAGGAGGAAAACCACUAAGAAAGGUUAUGCAAAAGUAUGACCUAUUAAUGUUGCUUGGUGUUGAUGUGGAAAUAUGGGGAAAAGAGAUUCACCUAACCUUGACAUGCAAUAAAAUUUUCAGUUCAUGAAAAGAGGUGAACUACAAAAUAGAAUGAAUUGCACACUGUCUUUGCAUACCACCUCUCAUGCCUAAGUUAGUUUAAAAGUUUUAGGAUGUAGCAAGAGUUUAGAGAGUGAGAGUUAACUUAUUCCUUUUAUAUAUAUAGGUAGAAUGACCUAUGAUUUUCUCUCUCCUCGUCAAAUUAGGAUGAUUUGGAUAUGUCUCUUCUUGUCGGGUGUUGAUAAAAAAAAGUUCCACAUCCUUGGGCCAACAAGCUCGCCUUGGCCGGCUUGAUUGGUCCUGGUUUGCCCAAUGCCUAUUUAUAUCUUGGGCUUUGUUUUGCAAUCUUGAACCUCAGUUUUGUACAUUUUGGGUUCAAGUGGUGUUGAUUAAAGCUUUUGUUUACUUGAGCCCAAAUUCACCCAUUAACACAUAAUAUUUAUUAGUGAGAAAUCUUCAAAAUCUUCUUUUAUCUUGUGGUAGUUUGUAUGCAGGUUCUUUGUUUUCUUUAGUUUAGUUUUUCUUUCUUUCAUUUUAGGAUGGGGAAAGAAUUCAAGCUUUGGAUGAAGUCCCUAAAUGGACUGGUAAAACUGUUACCAUUAGACAUAUAUUCUAGCUCUUGUUUCCAUAUCUUUUUAUAUCCUACUGUUCUCUCCAUGUUGUUCUAUUACUCAUAACCUAGAAGUUAGUUAAUUCAUAGAAUUUGGAUCUUGAUGCCCCAGAUGAUGGUAGUGCCAUUCAAGAUGCUCUUAGUGCAUUUGUUGGAAGGCACACUGUACCUCAAGUAUUGAUAGAUGGAAAAUACAUAAGUGGAUCAGAUGAUUCUAUUGAAGCAUACAAGAGCGGAGAGUUAGAUAUGAAGGAUCUCCUUGAGACUUUUUAACCCUUACCUUUGAAGACGUUUCUUCAAAUUGAAACCUCGAUCUCCAACCGACAUUACUACGAACGCAACCUUGAUAAUCUCAGGAAGAAGAAGCGAAAACCUCAACCUCCCACGUGCGUAAUGUGGAGAGAAUUGAGGGG